CUUCUUCUUCCUCUCAAACUUUCCCCAAUCUAUCCCAUACCUUGCGCCCUUGAACCAAAACUCAUAUCCUUCAACAAUUUAUUCUAAUUCCAUUACUCAAUCAUAUUGUGUGUUUUGAUUGUAAUGUUAAGUUGAAACAUUGUAUGCUACUUAAGUUUGAUUAAUUUAGUGAUGGUUGUUGCGAUUGAUUGCAAAUUCAUUCAUAAAGUUUGUAGAUAAUAAAGGCAAGAAUACAUCUUUUUCAUCCCUCUUUUUUUUCCACAAUUCCCUCUUAUUCUUCCAGAUUGCUACAAUUACCAUACAUAAAUAGUCAGAUCCCCUUUCAUCUUUUCUCACUCACAUUCAAAUUCAAACUCUAAUUUCUCAAAUUUUUGCUUUUGAAUUGUGUAAUUUUGUGUUUUUAUGUAAUUGGUGUAGAGAGUUUAUGUUGUUUUAAUGUGUUGAUUAAGAGUGGGUCUUGUUGUUGUUGAUUGAUGAUUAUUAGUUUUGUUUAAAAAAAUAUAUAUGUUUGUUGUUUUCUUUCUUUUCCUGGGUUUGGUGUUGAUGAUUUAUGAAUAUGGUGAUGAAGAUGAAGAAGACAAUGAAGGAAGAAGAAGAAUAAGAUCUUGAUUUUAAAUUUGAAAUUUUGAUUUUACGUUUUUUAUUUUAGUCCCUGUGGUAAUUUACGCUUUUGAUUUUAGUCCCUGACUUUACACAACUAAUCAUCUCUCAUGCCAUCUCAUCAAAUGUGCCAAGUCAUGACCUGCCACCUGUGCUCCGUUAGCCACAAUGGCGUUUUUGUUGACAGAAGCUGAUGGUAAGGACCAUUUUCAAAAGGUCAAAAAGAUACAAGGUUUAUUUUAUAUAAAAAAAAAAACUUACAAGGACGAAAACAAAAAAUACGCGAACUUAGAGGAACCUUUUACAUAUUUAAGCCAAUAACUAAUAGCACUUAUUUUGGUACAUUUCUCUUUUGCAAAUGUGAAACUUAAUAUUGGAUGGGGUCAAUAAUUUUGAGAAUGAAUAAACCCAUUAUUUAGUCUUUUAAUUUUUUUUUUCCAUCCAUCAGGUUUCUAAACUAUUUACAAACACUAAAUGUCCUUAAGACAUAGCUCAAGUAACAAUAUUGAUAUUGAGAAGUUGGAUAUUUUCAUCCGAGUUUGAACUCGAAUUCUUGCAAUUACGAGUGUGAAUUUCAGGUAAUUUAUAUCAAUUUAUCUGUAAACAAAAGGAGAUAUAUACGCGUAACAAAUAGGUCUAAUGCAAAUUAACAACUUAUUUUUAGUUUAUAAAAUAUAUGAAAUUUAAUCCUUUAGUCCCUAGUAUAUUUUAACAAUGGGCACUAAAGCAACAUAUAUUUCAUAUAUUUUAAAUACUACUACAUCUUUCCUUAUGUAUAAGCUCAUUUGACAUUUUCACAUAUAUUAAAAAAGUUAGUAGUGUCUUGACAAAAAAGAAGCUCCUUAGAGUUUCCUUAUGUAUAUUUUUUUAAACCGAAAAAAUUGUGUACAAAAAAUGACUAUUAUUACUAAAAAAAAUCUUUUGCAUAUAGAUGUGUUCAACAUUUAUUUUGCAAUUCUCAAGACAAAUCAGUGGUACAUCUUAAUAAGUGAUAUAUUUGUUAGGAAAAAAAAUUACUAUAUGUAUCUAGUUAUUUGCAAGACUAAUGAUUCUUAGCAAAUAUGCUUAUAUUGAGAGAACUUUUUUCUAAAGAGAGCUUAUAAUUAGAGACUAAGAUUUUGCCAAAAAAUAAAGAAAAAUUAGAGAAUAAGGUUUAUACUAUACUUUAGAAACUAAUUUGAUGAGAUACGACUAAAUCGAAGAUAUAUUUUUUUAGAAUAGUGUUAGAACCUUAGAAAUUAUAAUCAAUAGAAAUAGAAAUGUUCCUUACAGAUCCAUAAUAGUGACAAUCUUGUCUUUUCUUUUGAGGAAAUAAUAAUAAAGGUGGUGCCAACAUUUCAACAAACCUAGCUAUUUUAAUUAUUCUGUUCUCACAGCCUGCACCUUAGAUCAAAUCCAAAUUGGGUCAUCACCGUUCCAAAAUGCUUAGGGACGUUACUCUAAAUGUCAAUAUGAAUGAGUAAUUCAAAUAGUUAACAUAGCCCGCCAGCCUUAUAUAAUAAUAUCAAUAUAUGUCGACUAAUUAUCGAGAUGCUAAAUUGGAGUACACUUCACAAACAAAAAUCUUUCAUAAGGCGUUUUUUCUCUUAAUACAUUUUUUCUUUUCUUAUGCUAGUAACAUUUACUCUGUAUUGGCCUUCCUAAGAAGAAGUUGGAUAGUAGCAAUGUGUUCGUGAGACUGCUGAUAUCUUAAAAGAAUGUUCUCAUAGAUUCCACUUUUUUAGUAAGCUUUUAUGUGUAUGAGUUUGCAAAUUUAACCCUUUUUAAUUCGGAUAGAUUUAUAAGUCACACCUUCAAGUACAAUCGACAAAAUUUCAGUAAUAAUUACGGUUUAGGGUUUAUGGGUCUAGAUCUACUAAAAAUGAGUGGGUGUAUAAAUUAGUAUAUCCUAGAGUUUAUUAUCUUACGUUCGAUCUUCUUUGCAGAAACUCGUGCAUGUUCGUGAUAUAUAUUUUCGCGAGAAGUACAUUUCCCUAAAACAAAAUCAACCACUGACAUAAACACGUCAAAUGUAAGCCGGUAAAUCCAAGCUUUACUAACACGAGUUAUAUUAUAUCAUUGGCAUCAGCUACUUAAGAACUACUGUAGAAAAUUUACAGCAAGUCAUCGAGGCUUAAUAAAAUGUGUUGAUAUAGUUACAAAGAUAAAUUAAAUAGCAGAGCAUACAUGAAGAGAACAAAUGUAGAGCAACCCCUUAAACAAACCCUCUCAGUAAGGUAUCUUCACAUUACUCUAAGUUCAUAAAAGAUGACUUUAAAAACGAUUAUUUCAAAAUGCAAGUAUUCUCCGACCCCUUUUUCCCGGAUCUAGAUCUAAUAGUGUAAGGAUAUAUAUAAAUCAUUGUCACAUUUUACAACUCAAGAGUUUACCUCAACUCGUUUUGUUUAGGUAAAUUCGACUCGAGAACUCGUAUGACUUUACCUAAAAUUAAAAUUAUAUAAAAUUUAUUAUAUAUGCAUGACAUAUGUAAGUUAAUAUAAUAUUGUAAAUAGGUCAAUAGUGCAAAAUAUGACUUAAUUACAAAGACAAAUUAUACCAUAAUAAAAUGUUAUGCUCAACUUAGCUUCAAAAUACAAAAAUUAACGCACAAAAUCAUAAGUCUCUAAGUUUAAGCCAUCCAUAAAACCAUCCAAAAAAAGAAAGUUUCACAAGUUCCUAAAGUUAUUAAUAAAACUAUCUAAAAAAUAAAGUAGUUAAUUUCUUCAAAACGUCAACAAACACCACCACAACAACCCUAACCAGUGUCACAAUCACCGGCGUUGAAAUAUGAAUUUCCACCGUCUGAAUCACAACCCUAAAUGGUAUGUGCUCCCCUGUUCAUGGUUUGAGAACUUAGAAAAGAAAAAGGGCAAUCCGGUGCACUAAAGCUCCCACAUACGCAGGGUCCGGGAAGGGGUCCCACCAUUUUUUGUGUAUUGUACGCAACCUUACCCUGUUUUUGAUCACAAAAGAAAAAGAAACGUUUCAUUUUAGGAACAACUUGUCACUGUAAAGGUAACUAUUAAUUAAACGUUUCAGUCUUUGGGGUUGUAGAAAAGGAAUUGGAUUUUGAAAAAAAUGGGCACAUAAAAAGGGCCAAUUUUUAGAUGUAAACUCGUAAAACUCAGUAAACUCGGUCGAGUUUACACGAGUUUACCUAGUGUUAACUCGGUCAAACUCGUUAAACCUUCCAAUUUUACCAGAAACCGAGUUUACCUCCGAAUUAACAUGAUUUUGGCACCUACGUAAACUCGAAGAGUUAACACUCAAUUUGCGGAACAUUGCAUAUAUAUUUAAAGAUAUAUGUAUAAUUAUAGAGAAAGUAGAGAAGGGAUAUACCAUUUUAUGUAGGGUUAUUAUGUAUCAAAUCAUAAAGAGUCGAGAGUUGUAUUAUACCAUAAUAUUCUUCCGUAAACUGGUAGUCAUGAUCAUGACGUAUAUUAUUCAAGUAUAUGCAAAAACAUGUCUGUAUCUAGUCUAAAUUUUUGACCAAAUGCAUGUAUUUGCUUAUAUUUUGUUACUACUUACUACUCGCCAAGUAAUGCUCAAUAUCUAAUAUAUAUAUUUCAAGACCAUCAAAGAUAACUCAGUUGAACAAUACAUAAUAUAUGCAAGGUUCGGGGUAUAUUACAUUUUCAAUUAUUCUAAUAAUAAAUUUAAAUGACACUUAAAUUAUACAACUAUUAAAUAGAUCUUAGUACCGUAAAAUUUAUAUUCGAGACUUGCUAGGGAGAACCAUCAACCUCAACAAAAAUUUCUACUUGAAUCUAACGCAAACAAAAGGUCCAACCAUCUAUGAAUCUCCGUUGAUAUCACAAAUGAUGUUUGAUACAAGAGAGACAUAUUAGAACAUAAUCUAUGUACAAUCUACAUUAAAAUAAAAAACAAGUCUACAGUCAUAUAAAUAACACAAUUUCAAAAUCUCAAAAUUAGGUAUGAAAACAAAAUGAUUAGAAAAAUAAAUGAUUCAAUCAUUCCGAGAUUUGUGCAAAAAAAAAAAAAAAAACAUUUUGAAAAUACAAUGUUAGAAACUUAUGAUCAAUAUAUAUUUUUCCUUACACAUCAAAAAUAAUUAAGCUAUAUUCUUGUCUUUUCAUUUUGGGCAAACUAAAAUUAAAAUCAAGGUAGUGUCAAUGUUUCUAUAGUCCUAGCUAUUUGAUUUUCUUCUAAGCUAACAAGAGUCUUCCAAAAUCAAAUUCGCGCUCAAAAUUAAAGCAACUUGGGUGGUAACCAUUCCAAAAUACUUAGGGCCACAUUGCUCUAAAAGUCAAUAAGAAUAAGUAAUAAUUCAAAGAUAGCCAACCUUAUAGUAUAUUUUAAUAUGAAUGUAUGCAUGUUUCCUAGAAGGUGAGUAAGCUAACUAAUCAAGAUACUUUGUUGGAGUUAAAUAUGGUAAAGAAUCCAACUAUAAAAUGGGGACUUGCCCCAGCAUUCUUUCACAAACCAAAACCAACUUCUAAGAAAAAAAUGAGGUCCCUAAUGGCCUCUGCUUCUCUCACUCUUGCAUUAGCCAUCCUCUUUUUGAGUUUCCCAUCUGAAAUUUCAGCAAACAAAUACGCAUAUUCCUCUCCACCACCACCACAUUACUCAUCUCCUCCACCUCCACCGGUUCACACUUACCCUAAACCAGUCUACCACUCUCCACCACCACCAGUUCACACCUACCCUAAACCAGUUUACCACUCUCCACCACCACCAGUUCACAAGUACCCUCACCCUAAACCAGUAUACCACUCUCCACCACCCCCAGUUCACAAGUACCCUCAUCCACACCCAGUCUACCAUUCUCCACCACCCCCAGUUCACAAGUACCCCCAUCCUCACCCAGUGUACCACUCUCCCCCACCACCACCACCAAAGAAGUCCUACAAAUACCCAUCUCCCCCACCACCACCAGUUCACACCUACCCUAAACCAGUCUACCACUCUCCUCCACCCCCAGUUCAUCACACCUACCCUAAACCAGUCUACCACUCUCCUCCACCCCCAGUUCACACCUACCCUCACCCUAAACCAGUCUACCACUCUCCACCACCCCCAGUUCACACUUACCCUAAACCAGUCUACCACUCCCCACCACCACCAGUUCACACCUACGUCCCUCACCCUAAGCCAGUCUACCACUCUCCACCACCACCAGUUCACACCUAUCCCCCACAUGUUCCCCACCCAGUUUACCAUUCUCCUCCUCCUCCAGUUCAUUCCCCACCUCCACCACACUAUUACUACAAAUCACCUCCUCCACCUUACCACAACUAGAUAGCCCAUAAUUGGCAUCACACCAUAUGGUAACUUUUCAUGCAACAUAUAUAUUAUAACUUUUCAUAUUCUCUCUUUAUUAACUAGUUAUCGGUAUGAUUGUCGAGUAUAUACUAACAAGGCUAAUUUGAAAUGAAACUUCAUGUGCAAUGAAACAUUCUUUUACUGGUUAAUAUUUUAUUCUAUGUUUCAUUGAAAUUAAUAUUUUUCUAAUAGUAUUUGGUUAUUAAGGGAUUAGAGUAUAUCAGACAUAAACUGACAGAUCAAUAUAUUUGC
Molecule: long non-coding RNA, 6114 nt
Filed under: Medicago truncatula (barrel medic)
Lineage: Eukaryota; Viridiplantae; Streptophyta; Magnoliopsida; Fabales; Fabaceae
Description: long non-coding RNA (MTRU_LNC007681)
Source: RNAcentral